Long non-coding RNA from Pipistrellus kuhlii (Kuhl's pipistrelle), 195 nucleotides. RefSeq lists it as uncharacterized. Lineage: Eukaryota; Metazoa; Chordata; Mammalia; Chiroptera; Vespertilionidae. The transcript has 2 exons. The record is from RefSeq and is a predicted model, not a curated record.
GUUAACAAUGAAAUCCAGGAAGAAAUCAAAGAUAACUUUAAAAACAUGAAAAUGACCACCAAACCACCCAAAAUCUGUGGAACACAGGGAAAGCAGUCCUAAAACGGAAAUUCAUAGCAUUCCAGGCCUAUCUCAAUAAACAAGAAAAAGCUCAAAUGAACAGUCUAACUUUUCACUUAUAGGAACCUGAAAAAG